CCUUCUUUGAGCCUGGUGAACUCAAAUCAUGGUCUUUUUACAGAGCUGGUAUUGCCGAGUUUGUAGCCACCUUCUUGUUCCUUUACAUCACCGUCUUGACUGUCAUGGGUGUGUCUCAGUCUAAAACCAAAUGUGCAACCGUUGGUAUUCAAGGCAUUGCUUGGGCUUUUGGUGGCAUGAUCUUUGCUCUUGUUUACUGUACUGCCGGCAUUUCAGGUCACCUUCCCCUUCUUUUUUUUAUCUUGAACUUGUUGAAGAUGAUGAAGAUUAGUGGUAAAAAGAUGUUUAAUAACCAGAUCUGGGUUUGUUUUUCCCUUCUUUGAGCCUGGUGAACUCAAAUCAUGGUCUUUUUACAGAGCUGGUAUUGCCGAGUUUGUAGCCACCUUCUUGUUCCUUUACAUCACCGUCUUGACUGUCAUGGGUGUGUCUCAGUCUAAAACCAAAUGUGCAACCGUUGGUAUUCAAGGCAUUGCUUGGGCUUUUGGUGGCAUGAUCUUUGCUCUUGUUUACUGUACUGCCGGCAUUUCAGGUCACCUUCCCCUUCUUUUUUUUAUCUUGAACUUGUUGAAGAUGAUGAAGAUUAGUGGUAAAAAGAUGUUUAAUAACCAGAUCUGGGUUUGUUUUUCCCUUCUUUGAGCCUGGUGAACUCAAAUCAUGGUCUUUUUACAGAGCUGGUAUUGCCGAGUUUGUAGCCACCUUCUUGUUCCUUUACAUCACCGUCUUGACUGUCAUGGGUGUGUCUCAGUCUAAAACCAAAUGUGCAACCGUUGGUAUUCAAGGCAUUGCUUGGGCUUUUGGUGGCAUGAUCUUUGCUCUUGUUUACUGUACUGCCGGCAUUUCAGGUCACCUUCCCCUUCUUUUUUUUAUCUUGAACUUGUUGAAGAUGAUGAAGAUUAGUGGUAAAAAGAUGUUUAAUAACCAGAUCUGGGUUUGUUUUUC
Molecule: long non-coding RNA, 939 nt
Filed under: Gossypium barbadense (sea-island cotton)
Lineage: Eukaryota; Viridiplantae; Streptophyta; Magnoliopsida; Malvales; Malvaceae
Description: long non-coding RNA (GBAR_LNC007693)
Source: RNAcentral